Molecule: ribosomal RNA, 301 nt
Filed under: uncultured bacterium
Lineage: Bacteria
Description: partial 16S ribosomal RNA
Rfam family: Bacterial small subunit ribosomal RNA
Source: RNAcentral
CAGUCGCCACGGUAAAACAGAGGCCUCAAGCGUUGUUCGGAUUCAUUGGGCGUAAAGGGUGCGUAGGCGGUCGGGUAAGUCGGAUGUGAAAUCCUGGGGCUCAACCUCAGAACUGCAUUCGAUACUGCUUGGCUAGAGGACUGGAGAGGAGAUCGGAAUUCACGGUGUAGCAGUGAAAUGCGUAGAUAUCGUGAGGAAGACCAGUGGCGAAGGCGGAUCUCUGGACAGUUCCUGACGCUGAUGCACGAAGGCCAGGGGAGCAAACGGGAUUAGAUACCCCAGUAGUCCCUGUCUCUUAUAC